AAAAAAAAAAAAAAUAAAACUGGGAAACAGCCAUAUUUACGAAAAGGUGCUUAACCUAUAGAAAAAUAAAACUAUGAAUUAAAUUAGUGUUUAAUUUUUAGUAAUGACCAUUUUUGUUGUCAUAAAAACCUUCUUCUUUACAAUACAGAAUAACGAUUGUCAAUAGUAAAUAUUAUGAAAACAAUAACUGUUGUAUUUUUCAUCAUUAUAUAGUUUAUGUAUUAUAAUUGUAAAAACAAAACAAAUUUAGCAACUCACAUAGUAAUCAUUCAACACUGCUUAAAAAUGUAAGUUGAAAAUUAAACUCAUGAUUAAGCAUGAAAUAAGAUACAGAAUCAGUAAAUUCGAUUUUAAUGUGGGUAUAUUAUCAGUAAACUAAUCAUUAAAUAUUUAUAAUCAAUCAAAAAAUAUUGCCCCCUUUCAUAAUGUUGUUCAAAAAUGAAGGGCACAAUGUUAAUGUUGUCCACUCGAUGGCGCCACAGGACAGCAAAUACUUCAAGAUCUGUUCAAAGACUUGAAAAUGUUUCAUUUAUGUAAAUAAAUCAAAAAUGCAUAUACAUUCAUUCUUUUUUCAUAAACUUUAAUAAAGCCCAAUAUAGUAAUUAUGCAAAAACUAUCAUCUCCAAAAUACCAUUACGUUUUUAUCUUAUUUUAAUAGUAUUGACAACAUAUUUCUCAAGUUAUCACGCAUUACUGAAAAAGUGAAGAAGGGACACUAUAUUUGUUAUCUAUUUUCAUGUUGUGCGUAUAAUAAUUUACUUGAAAAGAGACACGUCCAUUGUUUAACUGCAUCAUCUACACAAACCAUUGUGCUUGGACCCCUUAUGAUCACCUGGACUUAAACCACAUUGUUUCAGUUACCUUCUGUGUCUUUGGCCACAACGCUUCAGUGACAGGAAUGUGAAAUAGCAAACAGGGGAACAAAUAAAAGGCAUGACUUUAUUUGCAUCCAGCUAGCCAACUCUAUUACAGGUGUUCCACAGCCAAGACUCUUAUUAGAAUAGAAAAUAGCAAGGGUUCGAAUAAAUAGAUUAUUUUUUAUUAGGGCUCAAGCCUGGAGGG
Cyprinus carpio carpio is the source of this 1062-nucleotide long non-coding RNA. Lineage: Eukaryota; Metazoa; Chordata; Actinopteri; Cypriniformes; Cyprinidae. The record is from Ensembl.